This 468-nucleotide ribosomal RNA is filed under the name uncultured bacterium. RNAcentral describes it as "partial 16S ribosomal RNA". It matches the Rfam family "Bacterial small subunit ribosomal RNA", at positions 28 to 507 of the family's 1533-position model. The record is from RNAcentral.
GACGAACGCUGGCGGCGGGCUUAACACAUGCAAGUCGAACGGAAAGGCCCUGCGUUUGUGGGGUGCUCGAGUGGCGAACGGGGGAGUAACACGUGAGUAACCUGCCCUUGACUUUCGGAUAACUUCAGGAAACUGGGGCUAAUACCGUAUAGGAGCUCCUGCUGCGUGGUGGGGGUUGGAAAUUUGCGGCGGGUGGGGAUGGACUCGCGGCUUAUCAGCUUGUUGGUGGGGUAGUGGCUUACCAAGGCUUUGACGGGUAGGCGGCCUGGGGGGGUGACCGGCGACAUUGGGACUGAGAUACGGCCCAGACUCCUACGGGAGGCAGCAGUGGGGAAUAUUGCACAAUGGGCGGAGGCCUGAUGCAGCAACGCCGCGUGCGGGAUGACGGCCUUCGGGUUGUAAACCGCUUUCGCCUGUGACGAAGCGUGAGUGACGGUAAUGGGUAAAGAAGCACCGGCUAACUACGUG